RNAcentral lists this microRNA precursor (73 nucleotides) under Camelus bactrianus (Bactrian camel). RNAcentral describes it as "mir-541 microRNA precursor family". It matches the Rfam family "mir-541 microRNA precursor family". The record is from Rfam by way of RNAcentral. Lineage: Eukaryota; Metazoa; Chordata; Mammalia; Artiodactyla; Camelidae. RNAcentral also lists the same sequence under 2 other names.
ACGUCAGGGAAAGGAUUCUGUUGUCGGUCCCGCGCCCAGGUUCACAAAAUGGUGGACGCAGAAUCUGCUUGUG